AAAACAACCCUACGGGAGGCAGCAGUGGGGAAUUUUGGACAAUGGGGGCAACCCUGAUCCAGCAAUGCCGCGUGAGUGAAGAAGGCCUUCGGGUUGUAAAGCUCUUUUGUCAGGGAAGAAACGGUAGUAGCGAAUAACUAUUACUAAUGACGGUACCUGAAGAAUAAGCACCGGCUAACUACGUGCCAGCAGCCGCGGUAAUACGUAGGGUGCAAGCGUUAAUCGGAAUUACUGGGCGUAAAGCGUGCGCAGGCGGUUGUGUAAGUCAGAUGUGAAAUCCCCGGGCUCAACCUGGGAAUUGCAUUUGAGACUGCACGGCUAGAGUGUGUCAGAGGGGGGU
This 340-nucleotide ribosomal RNA is filed under the name uncultured bacterium. RNAcentral's name for it is "bacterial SSU rRNA". It matches the Rfam family "Bacterial small subunit ribosomal RNA", at positions 330 to 662 of the family's 1533-position model. The record is from RNAcentral.